Molecule: ribosomal RNA, 259 nt
Filed under: uncultured bacterium
Lineage: Bacteria
Description: partial 16S ribosomal RNA
Rfam family: Bacterial small subunit ribosomal RNA
Source: RNAcentral
GGGGAAUAUUGGACAAUGGGGGGAACCCUGAUCCAGCCAUGCCGCGUGUGUGAAGAAGGCCUUAUGGUUGUAAAGCACUUUAAGCGAGGAGGAGGCUCUUUUGGUUAAUACCCAAGAUGAGUGGACGUUACUCGCAGAAUAAGCACCGGCUAACUCUGUGCCAGCAGCCGCGGUAAUACAGAGGGUGCGAGCGUUAAUCGGAUUUACUGGGCGUAAAGCGUGCGUAGGCGGCUUUUUAAGUCGGAUGUGAAAUCCCCGA